UACGGAGGGUGCGAGCGUUGUCCGGAUUUAUUGGGUUUAAAGGGUGCGUAGGCGGCCUGAUAAGUCUGGGGUGAAAGCCCGCUGCUCAACAGCGGAACUGCCCUGGAUACUGUCAGGCUUGAGUACAGACGAGGUUGGCGGAAUGGACCGAGUAGCGGUGAAAUGCAUAGAUACGGUCCAGAACCCCGAUUGCGAAGGCAGCUGACUAGGCUGUUACUGACGCUGAGGCACGACAGCGUGGGGAGCGAACAGG
This 253-nucleotide ribosomal RNA is filed under the name uncultured bacterium. Its description in RNAcentral is "partial 16S ribosomal RNA". It matches the Rfam family "Bacterial small subunit ribosomal RNA", at positions 524 to 776 of the family's 1533-position model. The record is from RNAcentral.